AUCGAACGCUGGCGGCAGGCUUAACACAUGCAAGUCGAGCGGGGUGAUGGUGCUUGCACUAUCACUUAGCGGCGGACGGGUGAGUAAUGCUUAGGAAUCUGCCUACUAGUGGGGGACAACAUCUCGAAAGGGAUGCUAAUACCGCAUACGUCCUACGGGAGAAAGCAGGGGAUCACUUGUGACCUUGCGCUAAUAGAUGAGCCUAAGUCGGAUUAGCUAGUUGGUGGGGUAAAGGCCUACCAAGGCGACGAUCUGUAGCGGGUCUGAGAGGAUGAUCCGCCACACUGGGACUGAGACACGGCCCAGACUCCUACGGGAGGCAGCAGUGGGGAAUAUUGGACAAUGGGGGGAACCCUGAUCCAGCCAUGCCGCGUGUGUGAAGAAGGCCUUAUGGUUGUAAAGCACUUUAAGCGAGGAGGAGGCUCUUUUGGUUAAUACCCAAGAUGAGUGGACGUUACUCGCAGAAUAAGCACCGGCUAACUCUGUGCCAGCAGCCGCAGUAA
RNAcentral lists this ribosomal RNA (503 nucleotides) under uncultured bacterium. Its description in RNAcentral is "partial 16S ribosomal RNA". It matches the Rfam family "Bacterial small subunit ribosomal RNA", at positions 30 to 523 of the family's 1533-position model. The record is from RNAcentral.